CGCUAUCACUCCUACGGGAGGCAGCAGUGGGGAAUAUUGCACAAUGGGGGAAACCCUGAUGCAGCCAUGCCGCGUGUGUGAAGAAGGCCUUCGGGUUGUAAAGCACUUUCAGUAGGGAGGAAGGUAGUGUAGUUAACACCUGCAUUAUUUGACGUUACCUACAGAAGAAGCACCGGCUAACUCCGUGCCAGCAGCCGCGGUAAUACGGAGGGUGCGAGCGUUAAUCGGAAUUACUGGGCGUAAAGCGCAUGCAGGCGGCCUGUUAAGUCAGAUGUGAAAGCCCGGGGCUUAACCUCGGAAUUGCAUUUGAAAACUGGCAGGCUAGAGUCUUGUAGAGGGGGUAGAAUUUCAGGUGUAGCGGUGAAAAUGCGUAGAGAUCUGAAGGAAUACCAGUGGCGAAGGCGGCCCCCUGGACAAAGACUGACGCUCAGAUGCGAAAGCGUGGGGAGCAAACAGGAUUAGAUACCCUGGUAG
RNAcentral lists this ribosomal RNA (474 nucleotides) under uncultured bacterium. RNAcentral describes it as "bacterial SSU rRNA". It matches the Rfam family "Bacterial small subunit ribosomal RNA", at positions 328 to 793 of the family's 1533-position model. The record is from RNAcentral.